UAGCUCACUUGAUUAGAGCAUGGUGCUGAUAACACCAAGGUCGCGGGUUCGAUCCCCAU
RNAcentral lists this transfer RNA (59 nucleotides) under Apaloderma vittatum (bar-tailed trogon). It matches the Rfam family "tRNA", at positions 8 to 63 of the family's 71-position model. Rfam says of the family: Transfer RNA (tRNA) molecules are approximately 80 nucleotides in length. Their secondary structure includes four short double-helical elements and three loops (D, anti-codon, and T loops). Lineage: Eukaryota; Metazoa; Chordata; Aves; Trogoniformes; Trogonidae. The record is from Rfam by way of RNAcentral.